This 208-nucleotide ribosomal RNA is filed under the name Vibrio parahaemolyticus. RNAcentral's name for it is "partial 16S ribosomal RNA". It matches the Rfam family "Bacterial small subunit ribosomal RNA", at positions 1 to 207 of the family's 1533-position model. Lineage: Bacteria; Pseudomonadati; Pseudomonadota; Gammaproteobacteria; Vibrionales; Vibrionaceae. The record is from RNAcentral.
AAAUUGAAGAGUUUGAUCAUGGCUCAGAUUGAACGCUGGCGGCAGGCCUAACACAUGCAAGUCGAGCGGAAACGAGUUAUCAGAACCUUCGGGGGACGAUAACGGCGUCGAGCGGCGGACGGGUGAGUAAUGCCUAGGAAAUUGCCCUGAUGUGGGGGAUAACCAUGGAAACGAUGGCUAAUACCGCAUGAUGCCUACGGGCCAAAGA